This 785-nucleotide ribosomal RNA is filed under the name Ochrolechia frigida. RNAcentral describes it as "eukaryotic LSU rRNA". It matches the Rfam family "Eukaryotic large subunit ribosomal RNA", at positions 141 to 942 of the family's 3401-position model. The record is from RNAcentral. Lineage: Eukaryota; Fungi; Ascomycota; Lecanoromycetes; Pertusariales; Ochrolechiaceae.
AGUUGUAAUUUGUAGAGGGAGUUUCGGGCGCUACGCCGGCCUAAGUUCCUUGGAACAGGGCGUCAUAGAGGGUGAGAAUCCCGUACGUGGCCGGCGAUCAAGCCCAUGUGAAGCCCCUUCGACGAGUCGAGUUGUUUGGGAAUGCAGCUCAAAACGGGUGGUAAAUUCCAUCUAAAGCUAAAUACCGGCCAGAGACCGAUAGCGCACAAGUAGAGUGAUCGAAAGAUGAAAAGCACUUUGGAAAGAGAGUUAAACAGUACGUGAAAUUGUUGAAAGGGAAGCGCUUGCGGCCAGACUUGCCCGGGGGCGAUCCGCCUCCCUUCGGGGUGGUGCACUCGCCCACGGUCAGGCCAGCAUCGGUUUCGGCGGCCGGACAAAGGCUUCGGGAACGUGGCUCCCUCCGGGGAGUGUUACAGCCCGGGGUGCAAUGCGGCCAGCCGGGACCGAGGACCGCGCUUCGGCUAGGAUGCUGGCGUAAUGGCCGUAAGCGACCCGUCUUGAAACACGGACCAAGGAGUCUAACAUCCAUGCGAGUGUUUGGGUGUCAAACCCAUGCGCGGAAUGAAAGUGAACGGAGGUGGGAACCCCUUCCGGGGCGCACCAUCGACCGAUCCUGAUGUCUUCGGAUGGAUUUGAGUAGGAGCAUGGCUGUUGGGACCCGAAAGAUGGUGAACUAUGCCUGAAUAGGGUGAAGCCAGAGGAAACUCUGGUGGAGGCUCGCAGCGGUUCUGACGUGCAAAUCGAUCGUCAAAUUUGGGUAUAGGGGCGAAAGACUAAUCGAACCA